This 515-nucleotide ribosomal RNA is filed under the name Gymnothorax fimbriatus (fimbriated moray). RNAcentral's name for it is "partial 16S rRNA". It matches the Rfam family "Bacterial large subunit ribosomal RNA", at positions 1921 to 2591 of the family's 2925-position model. The record is from RNAcentral. Lineage: Eukaryota; Metazoa; Chordata; Actinopteri; Anguilliformes; Muraenidae.
UGUUUAACGGCCGCGGUAUCUUAACCGCGCGAAGGUAGCGUAAUCACUUGUCUUUUAAAUGAAGACCUGUAUGAAUGGCAUAACGAGGGUUUAACUGUCUCCUCCCCCCAGUCAAUGAAAUUGAUCUGUCCGUGCAGAAGCGGACAUAACAACAUAAGACGAGAAGACCCUAUGGAGCUUUAGGCAAAUGAUCAAGCACACCAAACCCUUCUUACAAGCUCGGAGAUUUAAACGCCAAUGAUCAGCCCGCCUUCGGUUGGGGCGACCGCGGAGGAUAAAAGAGCCUCCGAGUGGUAUGGGAAAACCCUUAAGCUAAGAAAAACAAGUCUAGGCAUCAAAAAAUUUGACCAAACAUGACCCAGGAUAAUCCUGAUUGACGAACCAAGUUACCCUAGGGAUAACAGCGCAAUCCCCUCCCAGAGUCCAUAUCGACGAGGGGGUUUACGACCUCGAUGUUGGAUCAGGACAUCCUAAUGGUGCAGCCGCUAUUAAGGGUUCGUUUGUUCAACGAUUAA